This is a long non-coding RNA of Macadamia integrifolia, 485 nucleotides long. RefSeq lists it as uncharacterized. Lineage: Eukaryota; Viridiplantae; Streptophyta; Magnoliopsida; Proteales; Proteaceae. The transcript has 2 exons. The record is from RefSeq and is a predicted model, not a curated record.
CUUGGAAGAUAUUUGGAAGCUGCGACCAGUGGCGAACUGAGUUUGACAACAACUACAUUAAUAGAGGCAGUCGCGACCUAUGCUAGAUAAGGGCAACCGACCAAGAUCCCGUGACCUGUGCAAGGUAGUGGCAACUGACUAAGAGGCUCCCACGUCCUGUACGAGCUAGUGGCAACCGAACAAAGGCCAUCGCAAGUAGUGGCAAGUGGCAACCGAACAGAGGUCACCGCCGGUAGUCGCAACUGACCAAAAGUCACUGUGGGUAUUGGCAACCGAUUAGAGGCAGCCACUACCUGAGUGUGGCAUUUGCUGCACACGUGAAGCGAUUGAAGCUUGUUGGGCUUUUUGAAACAGAAUUGGUACAUUCCCUGCAAACUGGUACAAUUUCCUUGCUGGACCAAGGUUUGCUCUGUAUUUCUACACUUAAUUUUCCAUUUUAAUUCUUAUUAUAUUUACUUCAACUACUGACUUGGGAGUGUUGUCGU